Molecule: long non-coding RNA, 3827 nt
Organism: Amphiprion ocellaris (clown anemonefish)
Lineage: Eukaryota; Metazoa; Chordata; Actinopteri; Pomacentridae
Source: Ensembl
GUUGAUUAUUUUUGUGAAUGUUCUUAAGAAACAUUUUUAACAUUUCUUUUUUUUCCACCAAAAAAUGUUCAAAGAUUUCCCAAAAAUGUUGAAAAUGUGGACAUCAGAAGUUUCACUGUGAAAAUAUGUUUUUUUUCACAUUUUCGAACUUUAAAACGGGUCAAUUUUGACCCGCAGGACGACACGAAGGUUAAAUGUAGGAAGCUGAAAUCAUGAUUAACAUUCGAUUCAUUGUGGAGACGUAGUUGCUUCAAAUGACUUAUUUUGUCGAAUCAACAGUGCAACAAACGUCUAAUAUUAGAUUUUUUUCGUUUUUGUUAAAUAUAAUCAACCAAUUAUGAAAAUAACUGCAGAUUGUCUUUUGAGAUGAACUAGUUGAUGAAAUAUGACAAUAAUCCAUAAAACUAUGAUCACAUGCAGGAUUCUCCAUUGUGCACACUAAUGCUGCGGUUAAAAUCAAGUAUAGAAGCGCUCUGAACGUUUUCUGAGUGAUUCUGUGUAUGAACUUCUUAAAUCUGGAUUAAACCCUCGCUGCUCCGUCAGGCCUCGCGGCUUGUUGAAGUGCUUUACUUCACCUCCGUCACUUUGUGUUCGACACUCCUUUGGUUUACGCACACUAUCGUUGUGACAUUCACCUCCAUCUCAUCCCUACACAACCACCCACCGACCCACACUACUGACGACCAACACGUCCUACUUACCCACCAGCAAAGGAAGCAGUCCUUAAAGAUGUGGACCAAGCUGCCACUCUGUUUCCACAGUGUUGUUAAAGCAGAAAACUCACCGGAGACGACGAGGAACCUGCAGAAUAGUAAACAGGACAUUAAAAUGUUGCUUUUUUUCUUUCUUUCUAACAAACUGUAAAGCAAAACUUUAUCUGAGACAGUGAAAGGCAACAAGACUCCAACUGGAAACUUGAUUUAAUUGGAGAAGAUAAAUUUCUCUCCUUUUUUGCGUCUUUUCUGGUGAGUUUAUCUGCACUGCUCCAGUAUGUAUUGCACCGAUUACUCCAUUAAUGAGGGUUUGUUGUUUUAUAUCCACCAACCACAAGUCAGUGUCUAAGCUGAUUAUCCAGGAGGUAUUGGUGUUGUUUUGGGACGUUGUGUUCAUCAAAUCACUCAAACAAGCAGUUUAGAUUCAGUGGAGUUGUUUUUUUGAAGGUAAACAUGUGAAGUCCUGUCCACAUGUACACAGGUAAUAUUUGAAAUAUAGAUUAUUUUCAGUUUUUGGGCUUUUGUUCACAUACAAACAUUUUUAGGUCACCAUAAACCAUUGGAAAGGGUGAAGAAGUUUAGGAUGGAGUUAGGAUGUGCUGGUGCUAGCGUUGCUAACAGGACUUUUUGUUUACAUCGACGUGUGCAGUUACUCUACAUCAGAAUCAGUCUACGCUUUUAAUUCCCCUCUUCCUUGAUGCAGCAUUAGGCGUCUUUCCACUGCAGGAACUUGGAGCAGGUGCCAAAUGGCGCAAAAAUGGCACCAUAAUCGACCCUUUUAGCCAGUAAAUUUCCAUCGCGAUGUAUGAUCUGAAAGCUUCACCUGCAAUGUCAACUCUGACAGUGAAAAACAGCAGCUACUGGAUGCCAGCAUAUAUAGCAUCUACACUACUGUUUAAAAGUUUGGUUUCACUUAGAAAUAUCCUUAUUUUGAAAGAAAAGCAUUUUUUUUCAAUGAAGAUAACAUUAAAUGCAUGAUAAAUCCAGUGUAGACAUUGUUAAUGUGGUAAAUGACUAUUCUAGCUGCAAACAACUGAUUUUUAAUGGAAUAUCUCUAUAGAGGUACAGAGGAACAUUUCCAGCAACCAUCACUCCUGUGUUCUAAUGCUGCAUUGUGUUAGCUUUUUAGAUUGUUUUUUUUUUUUUAGAUUUUCACUUUAAGCCCUGCAAGUGUGGCUGCAGUAACAAGCUUGCUGUGCCCGACUAACAAUACGUCUGUGGUUUGGAAUUAUUUCCAAGUACACAGAUGUCGGUAUCGGUUGAUUUCAGAAUCGGAAAUUGAGACUUGGACAAUAUCGGCAUAUCGGUUUUUGGCAAAAAAGCCAAUAUCGGCCAGCCCUAGUUAAAUGGUUCAGUAAAAUUGAGUUAAUGCUGGUUAGUUACUUCAGAUCUACAAGAUUAAGGAGUCUUUGCUUCAAGGUCCAAAUAUCUACAAGGCAAAUGUGUCACAUGGUGAUAUACACUACUGUUCAAAAGUUCAGGGUCACUUACAAAUGUCCUUAUUUUUGAAAGAAAAGCAUUUUUUUCAAUGACGAUAACAUUAAAUGAAUGAUAAAUCCAGUGUAGACAUUGUUAAUGUGGUAAAUGACUAUUCUAGCUGGAAACAGCUGAUUUUUAAUGGAAUAUCUACAUAGAGGUACAGAGGAACAUUUCCAGCAACCAUCACUCCUGUGUUCUAAUGCUACAUUGUGUUAGCUAAUGGUGUUGAAAGGCUCAUUGAUGAUUAGAAAACCCUUGUGCAGUUAUGUUAGCACAUGGAUGAAAGUGGGAGUUUUCAUGGAAAACAUGGAAUUGUCUGGAUGAGCCCAAACUUUUGAAUGGUAGCGUUCAGCAAACUGUACAUCUCUGAUGCUAAUAUUAGAGAUGAGAAGGCUGCUACCAAGCAAGAACAUCGAAAGGAUGCAAAAACAGGGCUUAUUUUCUUCUACAAGUUUAACCAAUCAGUGUUUAGAUUCACACAGGUCUAGUCUGAAGUAUGUACCACCAGAGUUGGAGCUUGUUUUCUCCCCAAAAUUGGCCUUUAAUAAAGUUCUAGGGGGGCAGUUCUUGCACAAAGGUUUGCAAGUUCCUUCAGUGGAAACCAUCACCUACCAGAACCAGUAGAACUUUAUUUCCAGGCUUCUGAUUGGUUUAACGGGUUCAAUCACCACCUGUUGGUUUGGCUCUCAACAAGUGGACAGAGCUGUUUCUUUCUCUUUUUGGAGAACAUAUGAGGAAGAACCUUGUUUUAAAGAACACCCGUGUACAUGUGGACUAAUGUUCUCGUUUAUUUGGGAAGCUAACUGAGGAAGUUUGGUGAAUAAAACUUGAACAAAGUGUUUAUUUAGCACUCCACUGGAAAUUAAGUCAACUUAAUCUGUCAUGUCCUUGUCUCUACUAAAGAAUGUCAGCAAAAAGUUACAAAAAGCACUUAAAACUGUGUCAUCAGCAUAAAAAUUUGUUAAACACCUCCAGUGAAUCUGACACAUGACUGUUUGGUUUUUAAUGAAUCACAGCAGCCAAGUUUUCUUUUUUUAAAAUGAGCACUUUGUGAACAUGAGCCCUUUUUUUGUUUUUUAUUUUAACAGGUACACUAAUUUGACUGCAGUGUCGCUCAGUAAUGAAGACAAACAGGCUCGUUAAUUAACUACUAAAGGUGAUUCCACAUCACGUGGAUACAACGACAGUUUGCAGGGAAAAGUUUCCACAUUAACGAACAGAUUUUCACACAUCGAUUCAUUAUUUUUUAGCCUCUGGAACAGAAAUUUAGUGUGUUCUUUUAUGGACUUUAGUUUGAGAAUUUUAGACGAAAACACUGAUCUUCAACAUACCUGUGAGUUUGAUAUCAUCUCAACCCUUUAAGAGCUGCAUCUAUUCCAUUUUGACAUGGAAAAUAUUCAAAAAAAAAUUGAAAAUAACAUUUGAUUUGGACCAAAAUCAGGCUUUAAAAGUGUCUUUUGGACUAAAUUAAACAUGUUUUAUUUGAAGUUUUUCAAUUUGUCUGGAUGUUGCUGGCGAAAGUGCAGUUUAAUAUGAAACCAGCUGAAAAAUAAUAUUUUACAUUCAAUAAAUAAUUUACCAGAAAAUGUCAAAUUAAAUAUGGAACAGUACAAAUUUUCUGUGUUUUGUAAUCAC